GAUCAUGGCUCAGAGCGAACGUUAGCGGCGGGCUUAACACAUGCAAGUCGAGCGAGAAGUGGCUUCGGCCAUCAGUAAAGCGGCGGACGGGUGAGUAACACGUAGGUAAUCUUCCCUUGAGCGGGGACAACGAGCCGAAAGGCUCGCUAAUACCGCAUAAGUUCCCAGGGGUCCUCGGGCCUUGGGAGGAAAGCUAGGUAGCAAUAUCCGGCACUCGAGGAGGAGCCUGCGUCGCAUCAGCUAGUUGGUGGGGUAAUGGCCUACCAAGGCGAAGACGCGUAGCUGGUCUGAGAGGAUGAUCAGCCACACUGAAACUGAGACACGGUUCAGACUCCUACGGGAGGCAGCAGUGGGGAAUAUUGGACAAUGGGCGCAAGCCUGAUCCAGCCACGCCGCGUGAGUGAUGAAGGCCUUCGGGUCGUAAAGCUCUGUGGGGAGGGACGAACCGCCGGCGGUUAAUACCCGACGGCAUGACGGUCCCUCCUUAGCAAGCACCGGCUAACUUCGUG
This 509-nucleotide ribosomal RNA is filed under the name uncultured bacterium. RNAcentral describes it as "bacterial SSU rRNA". It matches the Rfam family "Bacterial small subunit ribosomal RNA", at positions 15 to 507 of the family's 1533-position model. The record is from RNAcentral.